AUACGGAGGGUGCAAGCGUUGUCCGGAUUUAUUGGGUUUAAAGGGUGCGUAGGUGGCGUGUUAAGUCAGUGGUGAAAGCCUGCAGCUCAACUGUAGAGGUGCCAUUGAUACUGACAUGCUCGAGUAUGGACGAGGUAGGCGGAAUUUGUGGUGUAGCGGUGAAAUGCAUAGAUACCACAAAGAACACCGAUAGCGAAGGCAGCUUACUGGACCAUAACUGACACUGAGGCACGAAAGUGUGGGUAGCGAACAGGAUUAGAUACCCUAGUAGUCC
Molecule: ribosomal RNA, 274 nt
Filed under: uncultured bacterium
Lineage: Bacteria
Description: partial 16S ribosomal RNA
Rfam family: Bacterial small subunit ribosomal RNA
Source: RNAcentral